This 70-nucleotide transfer RNA is filed under the name uncultured Clostridium sp. RNAcentral describes it as "tRNA-Tyr(gta)". It matches the Rfam family "tRNA". From Rfam's summary of the family: Transfer RNA (tRNA) molecules are approximately 80 nucleotides in length. Their secondary structure includes four short double-helical elements and three loops (D, anti-codon, and T loops). The record is from RNAcentral. Lineage: Bacteria; Bacillati; Bacillota; Clostridia; Eubacteriales; Clostridiaceae.
AUAGAUAUAGCAUAAGGAAUGCGACUGUAGUAUACAGAAGAUGUAGGUUCAAGUCCUACUGUUUAUGCCA